This 253-nucleotide ribosomal RNA is filed under the name uncultured bacterium. RNAcentral's name for it is "partial 16S ribosomal RNA". It matches the Rfam family "Bacterial small subunit ribosomal RNA", at positions 524 to 776 of the family's 1533-position model. The record is from RNAcentral.
UACAGAGGGGGCAAGCGUUAUUCGGAAUUACUGGGCGUAAAGGGCUCGUAGGCGGCCAACUAAGUCAGACGUGAAAUCCCUCGGCUUAACCGGGGAACUGCGUCUGAUACUGGACGGCUUGAGUUCGGGAGAGGGAUGUGGAAUUCCAGGUGUAGCGGUGAAAUGCGUAGAUAUCUGGAGGAACACCGGUGGCGAAGGCGGCAUCCUGGACCGACACUGACGCUGAGGAGCGAAAGCCAGGGGAGCAAACGGG